GACGAACGCUGGCGGCGUGCUUAACACAUGCAAGUCGAACGGAAAGGCCCUGCUUUUGUGGGGUGCUCGAGUGGCGAACGGGUGAGUAACACGUGAGUAACCUGCCCUUGACUUAGGGAUAACUUCAGGAAACUGGGGCUAAUACCGGAUAGGAGCUCCUGCUGCAUGGUGGGGGUUGGAAAGUUUCGGCGGUUGGGGAUGGACUCGCGGCUUAUCAGCUUGUUGGUGGGGUAGUGGCUUACCAAGGCUUUGACGGGUAGCCGGCCUGGGAGGGUGACCGGCCACAUUGGGACUGAGAUACGGCCCAGACUCCUACGGGAGGCAGCAGUGGGGAAUAUUGCACAAUGGGCGGAAGCCUGAUGCAGCAACGCCGCGUGCGGGAUGACGGCCUUCGGGUUGUAAACCGCUUUCGCCUGUGACGAAGCGUGAGUGACGGUAAUGGGUAAAGAAGCACCGGCUAACUACGU
Molecule: ribosomal RNA, 467 nt
Filed under: uncultured bacterium
Lineage: Bacteria
Description: partial 16S ribosomal RNA
Rfam family: Bacterial small subunit ribosomal RNA
Source: RNAcentral